RNAcentral lists this small nuclear RNA (162 nucleotides) under Brassica napus (rape). RNAcentral describes it as "snRNA U1". It matches the Rfam family "U1 spliceosomal RNA". Rfam says of the family: U1 is a small nuclear RNA (snRNA) component of the spliceosome (involved in pre-mRNA splicing). Lineage: Eukaryota; Viridiplantae; Streptophyta; Magnoliopsida; Brassicales; Brassicaceae. The record is from Rfam by way of RNAcentral.
UCACUUACCUGGACGGGGUCAACUCGUGAUCAAGAAGACGAGUGGCCUAGGCUAGUAACCUCCAUUGCACUAAGGAGGGGCGCUUAGCCUAAGGUCUCCCCAAGUGGGAGAGCCUGCGUCAUUAUUUGUGGCAGAGGGAACCUGCGUUCGCGCGGCUCCUAC